Molecule: long non-coding RNA, 721 nt
Organism: Oncorhynchus gorbuscha (pink salmon)
Lineage: Eukaryota; Metazoa; Chordata; Actinopteri; Salmoniformes; Salmonidae
Exons: 3
Source: RefSeq, a predicted model, not a curated record
UGUGUCUCAAAAUCCCAGAGCAGAACUAAGUGCUAAACACCCACUUUUAUGGAGAAGAGGAUGGAUGGAGGAGAUGAUGGGAGUUCUGGGUUUCUCUCUGCCACCAGCCUCAGUCAUCCACACAGCCAGAGGAGAGGCGAAACGGAUCAGAGGACCAAUACGCGGCGUGAUCGCCACGACCACCUCGAGGACACGCUACUGCCCAAUCACCACUGGGCCCAACGGGUUGGUAUGCCAACGAAGACCGUACGGCUUUGUGUUGCUGUUUGUGUCUGGUCGUCCGAUUCUACAACAGAGCUUGAUGCAAUUUAAAAUCCAAUUUGAUACAUUCAUAUGUACAAGAUUGGCAUAAACCCCUGUUAUAUUCUCAUUACCCCGGUUGUUGCUUUUGGGAUAGGAAUGAAAUUACAUCAACUACCUUGAGAUUGUAUUGCUUGUGUUUUGAUUAUCUACAUUAAAUAAGUGUGAAAGUAAAAACAGCCUGUGUAAAUUAAACAUGCUGAUGUCAAAAUAAAAGAUGUUGUAUGCGUCCCAAAUGGCAUCCUACUUCCUAUAUAGUGCACUACCUUUGACCAGAGCCCUAUUGGGAAUAGGUGCCAUUUGGGACGCUGCUAUUGAGUCAUACAGCCUGUAUUGAUCAGGGCAGUCGCAUUCGACCAGAUUACAUUUGCCAUUUGAUUCCUUUUCAAUUAUCUCUGCUUUUCAUCACUCUCUCUCUGUG